CAACGUUACCUUUUAGAUCUGGAUUUUUAAAGUCUUCCGAUCGACUUAGCUCCGCAUUUUUAUAGUCAUGCUGCUGACUUCGUAUUUGUUGUAGCUCUUUGUCAAUAUUUUCUACUUUUGUGCAAAGUAGGUUCAUAGCUUUGAGUAUUUCUUCUAUAGUAUUUUCUUUUUCAGUCUGUGUAGCUUUGUCUUGAUAAGUAAUCUGCAAUAACAUUCUUGUCAGUUUUUAUCACUUCAAUAGUAAAUGUAAAAUUUAAUAUAUUUAAUACCAAUCUUCUCAUUUCUUUCGUAGUUACCGAAUCUUGUAUUUUUCUUGUUAGCCAC
This 324-nucleotide long non-coding RNA is filed under the name Solanum tuberosum (potato). RNAcentral's name for it is "long non-coding RNA (STUB_LNC011526)". The record is from RNAcentral. Lineage: Eukaryota; Viridiplantae; Streptophyta; Magnoliopsida; Solanales; Solanaceae.